CACGAAAAUAGUUGAGCUAAAUAAUUAUAAUUAUUAGAUUAUUGUAUGUGGCAUAAUAUAAAUAAAUAAUUGUUUAGGGGUGAUAGGCUUUUCAAAGCUAUAGAUAUCUUGAUUCUUUAAAAAAACAUUGAGUGUAAUUUCAAUUAAGAAGUGAUAAGGUUUCUUAAUAACAUAAAUAUAUUAUUAUUUUAAAAUCUUGAUUUAAUUGUUAGAUUUUUUUUUUAAUAUCAUUAAUAUAUAACUAAUUAUGCUUUAUAUAAAGAAAUGUUACAACUAUUGUAAUAAUUUAAAAUGUUACUAUAAGUAAUUAAAAUAAAAGUAAAAAAUGAACUUGGCAAAUAGUCUUUCAACUGUUUACCAAAAACAUAGCUAUGUGUGAUUAUUCUUAGUGAUUUCUGCUCAAUGAAAUUUAAAUAGCCGCAGUACCCUGACUGUGCAAAGGUAGCGUAAUAAUUUGGCUUAUAAUUGAAGUCCUGUAUGAAUGAAAAUCUUGGAGGGCACCUUUAUUCUUUAUAAAUAUUGAAAUUACUAAUUAAGUGCAAAUUCUUAUAUCUAAAUGAUAGACGAGAAGACCCUAGAAAUUUAUAAAAAAUUGCUUUUCUUCUUUUUUGUUGGGGCAACAAGGUAACAUAAAAAUUUACCGUUAAAAACAAGAACAUUUUAUGUGAUAGAAUAAAUUACUCUAGGGAUAACAGCGUAAUUUUUAAAAGUUUGCGACCUCGAUGUUGGACUAGGAAACUAUUGUUUAGAA
RNAcentral lists this ribosomal RNA (751 nucleotides) under Exiligada monochroma. RNAcentral describes it as "partial 16S ribosomal RNA". The stretch from base 342 to 499 matches the Rfam family "Archaeal large subunit ribosomal RNA", at positions 1883 to 2090 of the family's 2987-position model. The record is from RNAcentral. Lineage: Eukaryota; Metazoa; Mollusca; Gastropoda; Stylommatophora; Camaenidae.